CUACGGGAGGCUGCAGGAGUGAAAACUUUCCAAUGCGUUCACGCGUGAGAAGGGAAUCUGGAGUGGUUAUACUAAGUAUAACCUUUUGUUUAGGCUAAAGAUCUAGACGAAUAAGGAGUGGGCCAGACGGGUGCCAGCCGCCACGGUAAUACCCGCGCUCCAAGUGGUGAUCACUAUUAUUGGGCCUAAAGCGUCCGUAGCCGGCCUAGCCAGUUCUUGGUGAAAUCCUGCAGCUAACUGCAGGGCGUGCUGAGAAUACAGCUAAGCUUGAGACCGGGAGAAGGUAGGGGUAUUCCAUGUGUAGGGGUUAAAUCCUUUAAUCCAUGGAGGACCACCUGUGGCGAAGGCGCCUGCCUAGAACGGGUCUGACGGUGAGGGACGAAAGCUAGGGGAGCGAUUGGGAUUAGAUACCCCCGUAGUC
This 421-nucleotide ribosomal RNA is filed under the name uncultured archaeon. RNAcentral's name for it is "partial 16S ribosomal RNA". It matches the Rfam family "Archaeal small subunit ribosomal RNA", at positions 323 to 746 of the family's 1478-position model. The record is from RNAcentral.